AGAGUUUGAUCAUGGCUCAGAUUGAACGCUGGCGGCAGGCUUAACACAUGCAAGUCGAACGGUAACAGAAGAGCUUGCUCUUGCUGACGAGUGGCGGACGGGUGAGUAAUGUAUGGGGAUCUGCCGAAUGGAGGGGGACAACAGUUGGAAACGACUGCUAAUACCGCAUAAUGUCGCGAGACCAAAGCGUGGGACUUUCGGGCCACGUACCAUUUGAUGAACCCAUAUGGGAUUAGCUAGUAGGUGGGGUAAUGGCUCACCUAGGCGACGAUCUCUAGCUGGUCUGAGAGGAUGACCAGCCACACUGGAACUGAGACACGGUCCAGACUCCUACGGGAGGCAGCAGUGGGGAAUAUUGCACAAUGGGGGAAACCCUGAUGCAGCCAUGCCGCGUGUAUGAAGAAGGCCUUAGGGUUGUAAAGUACUUUCGGUGAUGAGGAAGGUAACAAUUCUAACAGGAUUGUUAAUUGACGUUAAUUACAGAAGAAGCACCGGCUAACUCCGUGCCAGCAGCCGCGGUAAUACGGAGGGUGCGAGCGUUAAUCGGAAUGACUGGGCGUAAAGGGCAUGUAGGCGGAUGAUUAAGUUAGGUGUGAAAGCCCCGAGCUCAACUUGGGAAUUGCACUUAAAACUGGUCGUCUGGAGUAUUGUAGAGGAAGGUAGAAUUCCACGUGUAGCGGUGAAAUGCGUAGAGAUGUGGAGGAAUACCGGUGGCGAAGGCGGCCUUCUGGACAGAUACUGACGCUGAGAUGCGAAAGCGUGGGGAGCAAACAGGAUUAGAUACCCUGGUAGUCCACGCUGUAAACGAUGUCGAUUUGGAGUUUGGAGGCAUGACCUCUGGGCUCCGGAGCUAACGCAUUAAAUCGACCGCCUGGGGAGUACGGCCGCAAGGUUAAAACUCAAAUGAAUUGACGGGGGCCCGCACAAGCGGUGGAGCAUGUGGUUUAAUUCGAUGCAACGCGAAGAACCUUACCUGGUCUUGACAUCCAUAGAAUCUUUCAGAGAUGCGAGAGUGCCUUCGGGAACUCUGAGACAGGUGCUGCAUGGCUGUCGUCAGCUCGUGUUGUGAAAUGUUGGGUUAAGUCCCGCAACGAGCGCAACCCNNNNNNNNNGUGAAAUGUUGGGUUAAGUCCCGCAACGAGCGCAACCCCUAUCCUUUGUUGCCAGCACGUAAUGGUGGGAACUCAAAGGAGACUGCCGUUGAUAAAGCGGAGGAAGGUGGGGAUGACGUCAAGUCAUCAUGGCCCUUACGACCAGGGCUACACACGUGCUACAAUGGCGUAUACAAAGGGAUGCGAAGGUGCGAACUGGAGCGGACCUCAUAAAGUACGUCGUAGUCCGGAUUGGAGUCUGCAACUCGACUCCAUGAAGUCGGAAUCGCUAGUAAUCGUGAAUCAGAAUGUCACGGUGAAUACGUUCCCGGGCCUUGUACACACCGCCCGUCACACCAUGGGAGUGGGUUGCACCAGAAGUAGAUAGCUUAACCGCAAGGGGGGCGUUUACCACGGUGUGAUUCAUGACUGGGGUGAAGUCGUAACAAGGUAACCGUAGGGGAACCUGCGGUUG
Molecule: ribosomal RNA, 1566 nt
Filed under: Heliconius cydno chioneus
Lineage: Eukaryota; Metazoa; Arthropoda; Insecta; Lepidoptera; Nymphalidae
Description: bacterial SSU rRNA
Rfam family: Bacterial small subunit ribosomal RNA
Source: RNAcentral